AGAAACAGAGAGAUCGCAGAGAGGAGAAAUGGCGUAUCACCAUUCUUGUCAUCAUUUGCUGAAUGUCAAGCAUUAGAUGACCAUCUGUGCAUUCCAGGAGCGAGACCCAGUUCUUAAACCCUGGGGUUUUUGUGCACCUAUAGCCUGGAUCAGUCUCAUCACCAGGUUCCCAUGGGGACCACAAAACCCCUGUUGUCACGGUACCCGUGUCCCUCGGCAACUCAGCCAGGCAGCCGGCUCGCCGAGGGAGCGAGCGGGAGAGGGACCACAGGACGGAUUAAGUCUUCUAUUCCAAGACAAGUACCUGUCUGAUUGAAGCUACACUCCAGGAAUGGUCUGUCAAUGGCAGCACCAAUGGUUGCCCAGCAUGAGGAGGCCUCUCGUCUGGACGCUCUUCUGUCUUUCUGGAUCCGUGCACCCGGGGGGCCUCAUCCAGCAUAUGCUUUGAUGCUAUAGAAAUUAUACAUUUGUCUGUGGUAGGUUGGGGGUUGUUGACAAUCAAGAGGUUAUAUACAUCGAAGAAAAAUAUUUGUAAUGACAUUACAAAUAUUUGUAAUGUAGAGUUUGAGGAGGAGAUGGUGCGUUUUCAUGCCCUGAGUUUGGUAAUUGGACUGUGCCUGUGGGAGAAUUGACUGCCACACAAAAAUAAAGCUUUCGUGUCAUCACCUGUUAUCUGAAAAACAAUAUUCUGGACCUGUGAUCUUAUAACAAGCAAGCACCAUGUU
Molecule: long non-coding RNA, 725 nt
Organism: Triplophysa rosa
Lineage: Eukaryota; Metazoa; Chordata; Actinopteri; Cypriniformes; Nemacheilidae
Exons: 3
Source: RefSeq, a predicted model, not a curated record